UGCCAAAAAGGAUAACAUGAGCAUUUUAACGAAACGCAAACCACCCAGAGAGUUGUUUUUCUCCUAUCCCAGAAUGCAUCUGUGGUGUGACCAGACCUUACUCCCCAAGGCUGUGGAGAUAGGUCUGGCAAUGCAACACUAAACCUCUACCUUCAGCUUUUUUUUUCAGAAACAUGCACUGCUGCCUCCACCUUAGAUAUUCAGCCAGAUAACGCCACCCAGAGCCUCCACCUACAGCCUCUUCCAGUAACCUGCACCUCCACCUCCUGUCUUAGUUCUACGUACACACUGAAGUGAAAGACCAGGGCCCGAAGACACAUUGGUCUGUCUAAUGAUGAAGACCAUCAAAAUGGACCUUCUGAACGUCAAAGCCAAGAAAGAGCUCUUCUUCCUCCCACAAGUCUGAAGUCAAGGCAGUGUGGAUCAUGGCCCUGUUGGACUUCCCAGACUUCUACAUCUACAGCUGUGAACCAGAGGUGCUUCUUCAUCCUCCACAUCGUCUACCGUCUCAAUCAAUUCCACCAGCACAAGUUCCUCCCCGAGCCGAUUCUUAGAGAUCUGAAGGACGCAGAGACGCUCCUCCUGUGUUUUUAGGGCCUCACAUUUCCAACCAUGCUGCCUGAGAAACCCUCUGUUAAUGUGUGCUAAUAAGAAUUUGCACUGUUGCUCAAUAAAGUCA
This is a long non-coding RNA of Etheostoma cragini (Arkansas darter), 679 nucleotides long. RefSeq lists it as uncharacterized. The transcript is spliced from 3 exons. Lineage: Eukaryota; Metazoa; Chordata; Actinopteri; Perciformes; Percidae. The record is from RefSeq and is a predicted model, not a curated record.